GAUAGAUUAGUUAGAAAGAAAGAAAGAUUAGUUAGAAAGAAAGAAAGAUAGAUUAGUUAAAAAGAAAGAUAGAUUAGUUAGAAAGAAAGAAAGAUUAGUUAGAAAGAAAGAUAGAUAGAUUAGAUAGAAAGAAAGAACGAUAGAUUAGUUAGAAAGAAAGAUGGAUAGAUUAGUUAGAAAGAAAGAUAGAUUAAAAGAAAGAAAGAAAGAAAGAAAGAAAGAAAGAAAGAAAGAAAGAAAGAAAGAAAGAAAGAAAGAAAGAAAGAAAGAAAGAAAGAUGGAUUUGUUAGAAAGAAAGAUUGAUUAAUUAGUUAGAAAGAAAGAUAGAUAGAUUAGAUAGAAAGAAAGAACGAUAGAUUAGUUAGAAAGAAAGAUGGAUAGAUUAGUUAGAAAGAAAGAUAGA
This is a long non-coding RNA of Rhinichthys klamathensis goyatoka, 403 nucleotides long. RefSeq lists it as uncharacterized. Lineage: Eukaryota; Metazoa; Chordata; Actinopteri; Cypriniformes; Leuciscidae. The transcript is spliced from 3 exons. The record is from RefSeq and is a predicted model, not a curated record.